AACAUCGCGCACCUGCGGGAACCUGCGGAGGGAUCAUUACAGAGUUCGUGCCCUCGCGGGUAGAUCUCCCACCCUUGUGUAUUUUCUACAUCUUGUUGCUUUGGCAGGCCGUUGGUUCGCCAACCACCGGCUCGCGGGCUGGUGCGUGCCUGCCAGAGGACCUCUCAAACUCGGUUUGUUAGUGUCGUCUGAGUACCAUAACAAUCGUUAAAACUUUCAACAACGGAUCUCAGAUCGGAA
This 240-nucleotide unclassified non-coding RNA is filed under the name soil metagenome. RNAcentral describes it as "partial contains 5.8S ribosomal RNA, internal transcribed spacer 2, and large subunit ribosomal RNA". The record is from RNAcentral.